RNAcentral lists this ribosomal RNA (492 nucleotides) under uncultured bacterium. RNAcentral's name for it is "partial 16S ribosomal RNA". It matches the Rfam family "Bacterial small subunit ribosomal RNA", at positions 29 to 507 of the family's 1533-position model. The record is from RNAcentral.
AGUGAACGCUGGCGGUAGGCCUAACACAUGCAAGUCGAACGGCAGCACAGUAAGAGCUUGCUCUUACGGGUGGCGAGUGGCGGACGGGUGAGGAAUACAUCGAAAUCUUCUUUUUCGUGGGGGAUAACGUAGGGAAACUUACGCUAAUACCGCAUACGACCUACGGGUUAAAGCAGGGGAUCUUCGGACCUUGCGCGAUUGAAUGAGCCGAUGCCGGAUUAGCUAGUUUGCGGGGUAAAGGCCCACCAAGGCGACGAUCCGUAGCUGGUCUGAGAGGAUGAUCAGCCACACUGGAACUGAGACACGGUCCAGACUCCUACGGGAGGCAGCAGUGGGGAAUAUUGGACAAUGGGCGCAAGCCUGACCCAGCCAUACCGCGUGGGUGAAGAAGGCCUUCGGGUCGUAAAGCCCUUUUAUUGGGAAAGAAAAGAAGCAGAUGAAUACCCCGCCGUUCUGACGGUACCCAAAGAAUAAGCACCGGCUAACUUCGUG